CAACUUUGGGAAGGUACCGAUAUCGCUUUGUAAAAUCCUCAGUUCUGGCUGUAUCUCUAUAAAAUCACAAGGACGUCAAUGUUAAGUCGUUGGGCUAUAUCUCUGGGAUGAGAAAUAAUUCCUUACAUGCGAUCAAAAUGUUUUAUACAACGAUGUAAAACGGUAAUCUUAUGGAAUGGGUCAGCAUUUCCAUUUCCAACAAGUUUCUGAGAUGUAAUUCAAGAGGUAACUUAUCA
This is a non-coding RNA of Paramuricea clavata, 236 nucleotides long. Lineage: Eukaryota; Metazoa; Cnidaria; Anthozoa; Malacalcyonacea; Plexauridae. The record is from the annotation of a GenBank genome assembly.